GGAUGCAAGGGUGAUUUGGCUGCUACAUCUGUCACCCCAGUGAUCACCAGGGUUGAUUCGGCUGAUCUGGCUCCCUAGGCGUGUCCCCUUCCUCCCUCCCCGCUCAUGUGAACAGAGGAGGACCGGUCUUUGGUCAGGGGCAUGAGUUGCUGUGCACUCCUGCUAGAAAGUACCUCCAAACAAGCCCUCAAAAUACUGCCUUGCAAAUAAGUUAUUAGCUAAAGGGGAUUAUUUAUUAUUAUUAUUAUCAUUAUGUAUUAGUUUAA
RNAcentral lists this small nuclear RNA (266 nucleotides) under Jaculus jaculus (lesser Egyptian jerboa). Its description in RNAcentral is "7SK RNA (ENSJJAG00000002229.1)". It matches the Rfam family "7SK RNA". From Rfam's summary of the family: 7SK was discovered as an abundant small nuclear RNA in the mid-70s but a possible function has only recently been suggested. The record is from Rfam by way of RNAcentral. Lineage: Eukaryota; Metazoa; Chordata; Mammalia; Rodentia; Dipodidae.